RNAcentral lists this ribosomal RNA (207 nucleotides) under uncultured bacterium. Its description in RNAcentral is "partial 16S ribosomal RNA". It matches the Rfam family "Bacterial small subunit ribosomal RNA", at positions 568 to 774 of the family's 1533-position model. The record is from RNAcentral.
UGCGUAGGCGGCUUGGUAAGUCAGAUGUGAAAUCCUGGGGCUCAACCUCGGAACUGCAUUUGAUACUGCCAGGCUAGAGUACUGGAGAGGAGACUGGAAUUUACGGCGUAGCAGUGAAAUGCGUAGAUAUCGUAAGGAAGGCCAGUGGCGAAGGCGAGUCUCUGGACAGUAACUGACGCUGAGGCACGAAGGCUAGGGGAGCAAACG